GACGAACGCUGGCGGCGUGCUUAACACAUGCAAGUCGAACGGAAAGGCCCUGCUUUUGUGGGGUGCUCGAGUGGCGAACGGGUGAGUAACACGUGAGUAACCUGCCCUUGACUUUGGGAUAACUUCAGGAAACUGGGGCUAAUACCGGAUAGGAGCUCCUGCUGCAUGGUGGGGGUUGGAAAGUUUCGGCGGUUGGGGAUGGACUCGCGGCUUAUCGGCUUGUUGGUGGGGUAGUGGCUUACCAAGGCUUUGACGGGUAGCCGGCCUGAGAGGGUGACCGGCCACAUUGGGACUGAGAUACGGCCCAGACUCCUACGGGAGGCAGCAGUGGGGAAUAUUGCACAAUGGGCGGAAGCCUGAUGCAGCAACGCCGCGUGCGGGAUGACGGCCUUCGGGUUGUAAACCGCUUUCGCCUGUGACGAAGCGUGAGUGACGGUAAUGGGUAAAGAAGCACCGGCUAACUACGUGCCAGCAGCCGCGGUGAUACGUAGGGUGCGAGCGUUGUCCGGAUUUAUUGGGCGUAAAGGGCUCGUAGGUGGUUGAUCGCGUCGGAAGUGUAAUCUUGGGGCUUAACCCUGAGCGUGCUUUCGAUACGGGUUGACUUGAGGAAGGUAGGGGAGAAUGGAAUUCCUGGUGGAGCGGUGGAAUGCGCAGAUAUCAGGAGGAACACCAGUGGCGAAGGCGGUUCUCUGGGCCUUUCCUGACGCUGAGGAGCGAAAGCGUGGGGAGCGAACAGGCUUAGAUACCCUGGUAGUCCACGCUGUAAACGGUGGGUACUAGGUGUGGGGUCCAUUCCACGGGUUCCGUGCCGUAGCUAACGCUUUAAGUACCCCGCCUGGGGAGUACGGCCGCAAGGCUAAAACUCAAAGGAAUUGACGGGGCCCCGCACAAGCGGCGGAGCAUGCGGAUUAAUUCGAUGCAACGCGUAGAACCUUACCUGGGUUUGACUUGGAUCGGGAGUGCUCAGAGAUGGGUGUGCCUCUUUUGGGGUCGGUUCACAGGUGGUGCAUGGCUGUCGUCAGCUCGUGUCGUGAGAUGUUGGGUUAAGUCCCGCAACGAGCGCAACCCUUGUUCACUGUUGCCAGCACGUUAUGGUGGGGACUCAGUGGAGACCGCCGGGGUCAACUCGGAGGAAGGUGGGGAUGACGUCAAGUCAUCAUGCCCCUUAUGUCCAGGGCUUCACGCAUGCUACAAUGGCUGGUACAGAGAGUGGCGAGCCUGUGAGGGUGAGCGAAUCUCGGAAAGUCGGUCUCAGUUCGGAUUGGGGUCUGCAACUCGACCUCAUGAAGUCGGAGUCGCUAGUAAUCGCAGAUCAGCAACGCUGCGGUGAAUACGUUCCCGGG
RNAcentral lists this ribosomal RNA (1343 nucleotides) under uncultured bacterium. RNAcentral describes it as "16S ribosomal RNA". It matches the Rfam family "Bacterial small subunit ribosomal RNA", at positions 28 to 1378 of the family's 1533-position model. The record is from RNAcentral.